RNAcentral lists this transfer RNA (88 nucleotides) under Stachybotrys elegans. It matches the Rfam family "tRNA". From Rfam's summary of the family: Transfer RNA (tRNA) molecules are approximately 80 nucleotides in length. Their secondary structure includes four short double-helical elements and three loops (D, anti-codon, and T loops). Lineage: Eukaryota; Fungi; Ascomycota; Sordariomycetes; Hypocreales; Stachybotryaceae. The record is from Rfam by way of RNAcentral.
GGGCGUGUGGUCUAGUGGUAUGACGUCGGCUUCGCAUUCCUCAUCGUGCGUCUGCUGAAGGUCCGGAGUUCGAUUCUCCGUUCGUCCA